UACGUAGGGUGCGAGCGUUAAUCGGAAUUACUGGGCGUAAAGCGCGCGCAGGCGGCUUCCUAAGUCUGUCGGUCAAAUGCCGGGGCUCAACCCCGAGCGUGCCGGGGAUACUGGGAGGCUGGAGACAGGUAGAGGCAAGCGGAAUUCCGGGUGUAGCGGUGGAAUGCGUAGAGAUCCGGAAGAACACCGGAGGCGAAGGCGGCUUGCUGGACCGGCAUUGACGCUGAGGCGCGAAAGCUAGGGGAGCAAACGGG
RNAcentral lists this ribosomal RNA (254 nucleotides) under uncultured bacterium. Its description in RNAcentral is "partial 16S ribosomal RNA". It matches the Rfam family "Bacterial small subunit ribosomal RNA", at positions 524 to 776 of the family's 1533-position model. The record is from RNAcentral.